Nomascus leucogenys (northern white-cheeked gibbon) is the source of this 84-nucleotide microRNA precursor. It matches the Rfam family "mir-142 microRNA precursor family". The record is from Rfam. NCBI's taxonomy places the organism in Eukaryota, Metazoa, Chordata, Mammalia, Primates, Hylobatidae.
CAGUGCAGUCACCCAUAAAGUAGAAAGCACUACUAACAGCACUGGAGGGUGUAGUGUUUCCUACUUUAUGGAUGAGUGUACUGU